CAGAUUCGCCCCGUUUCAGGUGCCCCCCGCCGCCGUGCGUGGGGUGAAACGGGAAGCCGGUGCGUCGCCCUCGUGCGAUCAGUCCGGCGCUGCCCCCGCAACGGUAAGCGAGCGGAGCAUCCACAAGGCCACUGUGCUCAGGCAUGGGAAGGCGGAUGUUUCAUGAUCCUCGCAAGCCCGGAGACCGGCCUGGAACCUGUUUGGCAA
This 207-nucleotide non-coding RNA is filed under the name Pseudomonas denitrificans (nom. rej.). The record is from RNAcentral. Lineage: Bacteria; Pseudomonadati; Pseudomonadota; Gammaproteobacteria; Pseudomonadales; Pseudomonadaceae.